UACGAAGGGGGCUAGCGUUAUUCGGAAUUACUGGGCGUAAAGCGCGCGUAGGCGGUGAUCUAUGUCAGAGGUGAAAUCCCGGGGCUCAACCCCGGAAUUGCCUUUGAAACGGGAUCGCUAGAGUCCGAGAGAGGAUGGCGGAAUUCCUAGUGUAGAGGUGAAAUUCGUAGAUAUUAGGAAGAACACCGGUGGCGAAGGCGGCCUCCUGGCUCGAUACUGACGCUGAGGUGCGAAAGCGUGGGGAUCAAACAGG
Molecule: ribosomal RNA, 253 nt
Filed under: uncultured bacterium
Lineage: Bacteria
Description: partial 16S ribosomal RNA
Rfam family: Bacterial small subunit ribosomal RNA
Source: RNAcentral